RNAcentral lists this non-coding RNA (22 nucleotides) under Mus musculus (house mouse). The record is from RNAcentral. Lineage: Eukaryota; Metazoa; Chordata; Mammalia; Rodentia; Muridae.
AAUUAGCAGUGAUUAAGAAGAG